Molecule: small nuclear RNA, 22 nt
Filed under: Arabidopsis thaliana (thale cress)
Lineage: Eukaryota; Viridiplantae; Streptophyta; Magnoliopsida; Brassicales; Brassicaceae
Description: snRNA_17911
Source: RNAcentral
UAGGAGGGCGCGGCGGUCGCUG